GACGAACGCUGGCGGCGUGCCUAAUACAUGCAAGUCGAACGCACUCUCGUUUAGAUUGAAGGAGCUUGCUCCUGAUUGAUAAACAUUUGAGUGAGUGGCGGACGGGUGAGUAACACGUGGGUAACCUGCCCUAAAGUGGGGGAUAACAUUUGGAAACAGAUGCUAAUACCGCAUAAAACCUAAACACCGCAUGGUGUAGGGUUGAAAGAUGGUUUCGGCUAUCACUUUAGGAUGGACCCGCGGUGCAUUAGUUAGUUGGUGAGGUAAAGGCUCACCAAGACCGUGAUGCAUAGCCGACCUGAGAGGGUAAUCGGCCACACUGGGACUGAGACACGGCCCAGACUCCUACGGGAGGCAGCAGUAGGGAAUCUUCCACAAUGGACGAAAGUCUGAUGGAGCAACGCCGCGUGAGUGAAGAAGGUUUCGGAUCGUAAAACUCUAGUUGUUUGGAAGAAGAAUGUAUCUGAUAGUAACUGAUCA
RNAcentral lists this ribosomal RNA (480 nucleotides) under uncultured bacterium. RNAcentral describes it as "bacterial SSU rRNA". It matches the Rfam family "Bacterial small subunit ribosomal RNA", at positions 28 to 479 of the family's 1533-position model. The record is from RNAcentral.